UAUCACUAUUAAGUUCUGACCAUGCAGUAAAAAAUAAUUUUUAAAAUUUUAAAAUCAUACAAAUCAAUAGCUUUAUCAAAUAAAACUAUCGAGCUAAAAUCCAAACCCUAGAAUCACUUUGUCGAUAUCGAUAAAAUAAAAACAAACAUGCAAAAGAGAUAGAAUUUUAUACUUUCGCCAAAAUAAAAAAAUAGCAUGUUGGUGUUCUCCACAAGACCCCA
This 221-nucleotide long non-coding RNA is filed under the name Elaeis guineensis (African oil palm). RNAcentral's name for it is "long non-coding RNA (EGUI_LNC060212)". The record is from RNAcentral. Lineage: Eukaryota; Viridiplantae; Streptophyta; Magnoliopsida; Arecales; Arecaceae.